Passer domesticus (house sparrow) is the source of this 1417-nucleotide RNA transcript. It is a transcript of the gene named family with sequence similarity 185 member A, with no coding region annotated. The transcript is spliced from 8 exons. The record is from RefSeq and is a predicted model, not a curated record. NCBI's taxonomy places the organism in Eukaryota, Metazoa, Chordata, Aves, Passeriformes, Passeridae.
CGUGCAGCCCCGCCACGUGACCGGCCGGGGGUCAGCAGCGGCCUCGUCCCGUCCCGGGCGCUCCCGGCGCGGCUCCCGGGCGCUCCCGACUCUCCUGACGCGGCUCCCGGGCGCUCCCGACUCUCCCGGCGCGGCUCCCGGGCGCUCUCGCCUUGCCGGCGGCAAUGCGGGCGCUGCCCCCGCGCUGGGCGGCCCUGGCCGUGCGAGCGGCGGGCGGGCAGUGGGCGCCGCCCGUCCCCCGGCGCGGUCGCAGCGGCCCCGGCCCGCCGCGGGAGUGGGCGCUGUCGGUGAGCCCGCGGGGGCGGCUGCGGGUGCGGCUGCCGUGCCAGGUGAGCGUCCGCCCGCUGGACCCGCAGCGCUGGCCGGGCGCGGAGCGGGUGCUGGUGGCCGUGAGCGGCGGCAGCCCCGGGCGGGAGCGGGAGCGGGGCGCGGUGCGGGUGGAGCACGACGAGGCGCUGGGGCAGGUGGCCAUCGAGGCGGACGGCGUGGACAGCAAGGCCGCCGUGGACGUGCGGACGCCGGUGAAGUUCGAUUUGGAUAUCAAAACGUCAGGGACUGGCUGCGUGAAGAUUCAGAAAAUAGAAUGUGAUAACUGCAAAAUAGAAACAGAGAAGGGGACUAGUGUCUUGCAGUCAAUAAAGAGCCAUAAAAUAGAUAUACGGACAAAUGGUGGCAAAGUAAUUGGUCUUGGAACACUUCAUGGCAAUACAGAUAUUUGUGCAACAGAAAAGGGGAGUGUAAAUAUAGAGAAGCUGCAGGGGACAACCAUCAAUAUAUCUACUGAAGAUGGGCUGCUGAAAACCAAAUAUCUCUAUGCAGAAUCAGCAUCUCUCUCUUCAGAAUCUGGUGAUAUUAUGCUGGGAAGUGUUCAUGGUAAUACCAACCUUCAGACCAAAAGAGGGAGUAUCUCAGUAGAUUCAUCAGAUGGAAGUCUAAAAGCUUCUACAUAUCACGGGACAAUAGAUGUUUAUGUCAGUCAAUUAAGAAAAGUGGAUCUGAAAUCCCAGAAAGCACAGUUUAGUAAAGGCAAAGUUGAAGUUCUGUUUCUGUUUACCCUGUAAAUUCAGAAUAACUGCUGACAGCUGCAGUGUAGAAAAUGUCCCACUUGUGAUAAAUGAGCUGCAUGCGUGUCGGGUUUUAUGAGUCAUCACUGAGCAACUCUCCAAAGAGGACCCAAAGAUGAAGACCUUUUCCCUUGCUUAUUCUAAGGCUUUUGUGUAUCCAGCAAAAUGCAGGCCUAAAUUAUACUGGAAGUUAUUUGUUCAUCAGAACUGUCACAGGUUCAAUUACAGUCAAGGUACCUGCAUCUCUCAAAGCCUAUUUAGAGCUGUCUGGAAGAAAAGUGGAUGUGAGCUCAGAGAUCCAGUUAAAAGAAACACAGAGUGCCUCCAAAGAUGAUCAUGUAACUCUGAGUGGU